UGAACGCUGGCGGCAUGCUUUCCACAUGCAAGUCGAACGGCAGCGCGGGCUUCGGCCUGGCGGCGAGUGGCGAACGGGUGAGUAAUGCAUCGGAACGUGCCCAGUAGUGGGGGAUAGCCCGGCGAAAGCCGGAUUAAUACCGCAUACGACCUGAGGGUGAAAGCGGGGGACCGAAAGGCCUCGCGCUAUUGGAGCGGCCGAUGUCGGAUUAGCUAGUUGGUGGGGUAAAGGCUUACCAAGGCGACGAUCCGUAGCUGGUCUGAGAGGACGACCAGCCACACUGGGACUGAGACACGGCCCAGACUCCUACGGGAGGCAGCAGUGGGGAAUUUUGGACAAUGGGGGCAACCCUGAUCCAGCCAUGCCGCGUGCGGGAAGAAGGCCUUCGGGUUGUAAACCGCUUUUGUUCGGGAAGAAAUCCUCUGGGCUAAUACCCCGGGGGGAUGACGGUACCGGAAGAAUAAGCACCGGCUAACUACGUG
RNAcentral lists this ribosomal RNA (482 nucleotides) under uncultured bacterium. RNAcentral describes it as "partial 16S ribosomal RNA". It matches the Rfam family "Bacterial small subunit ribosomal RNA", at positions 30 to 507 of the family's 1533-position model. The record is from RNAcentral.